UAGGGAAUAUUGCAAAUGGGCGCAAGCCUGAUGUAGCAACGCCGCGUGUGCGAUGAAGGUCUUCGGAUUGUAAAGCACUUUUUGGAGGGAUGAGGAAGGACAGUACCUCCAGAAUAAGCCUCGGCUAACUACGUGCCAGCAGCCGCGGUAACACGUAGGAGGCAAGCGUUAUUCGGAUUUACUGGGCGUAAAGCGCGUGCAGGCGGUUUGGAAUGUAGGAUGUGAAAGCUCCUGGCUCAACUGGGAGAGGUCGUUCAAAACUUCCAGACUUGAGAGUGGUAGAGGGAGGUGGAAUUCCGGGUGUAGUGGUGAAAUGCGUAGAUAUCCGGAGGAACACCAGUGGCUAAAGCGGCCUCCUGGACCACUUCUGACGCUCAGACGCGAAAGCUAGGGUAGCAAACGG
RNAcentral lists this ribosomal RNA (403 nucleotides) under uncultured bacterium. RNAcentral's name for it is "bacterial SSU rRNA". It matches the Rfam family "Bacterial small subunit ribosomal RNA", at positions 355 to 775 of the family's 1533-position model. The record is from RNAcentral.